RNAcentral lists this ribosomal RNA (253 nucleotides) under uncultured bacterium. RNAcentral describes it as "partial 16S ribosomal RNA". It matches the Rfam family "Bacterial small subunit ribosomal RNA", at positions 524 to 776 of the family's 1533-position model. The record is from RNAcentral.
UACGUAGGGUGCAAGCGUUGUCCGGAAUUAUUGGGCGUAAAGAGCUCGUAGGCGGUUUGUCGCGUCUGCUGUGAAAUCUGGGGGCUCAACCCCCAGCCUGCAGUGGGUACGGGCAGACUAGAGUGCGGUAGGGGAGAUUGGAAUUCCUGGUGUAGCGGUGGAAUGCGCAGAUAUCAGGAGGAACACCGAUGGCGAAGGCAGAUCUCUGGGCCGUAACUGACGCUGAGACGCGAAAGCGUGGGGAGCAAACAGG